AUACGGAGGGUGCAAGCGUUGUUCGGAAUUACGGGGCGUAAAGCGCGCGUAGGUGGUCUGUUAUGUCAGAUGUGAAAGUCCACGGCUCAACCGUGGAAGUGCAUUUGAAACUGGCAGACUUGAGUACUGGAGGGGGUAGUGGAAUUCCCGGUGUAGAGGUGAAAUUCGUAGAUAUCGGGAGGAAUACCGGUGGCGAAGGCGACUACCUGGCCAGAUACUGACGCUGAGGUGCGAAAGCGUGGGGAGCAAACAGGAUUAGAAACCCCGGUAGUCC
RNAcentral lists this ribosomal RNA (274 nucleotides) under uncultured bacterium. RNAcentral's name for it is "partial 16S ribosomal RNA". It matches the Rfam family "Bacterial small subunit ribosomal RNA", at positions 523 to 796 of the family's 1533-position model. The record is from RNAcentral.